This 280-nucleotide ribosomal RNA is filed under the name uncultured Staphylococcus sp. Its description in RNAcentral is "partial 16S ribosomal RNA". It matches the Rfam family "Bacterial small subunit ribosomal RNA", at positions 523 to 802 of the family's 1533-position model. The record is from RNAcentral. Lineage: Bacteria; Bacillati; Bacillota; Bacilli; Caryophanales; Staphylococcaceae.
AUACGUAGGUGGCAAGCGUUAUCCGGAAUUAUUGGGCGUAAAGCGCGCGUAGGCGGUUUUUUAAGUCUGAUGUGAAAGCCCACGGCUCAACCGUGGAGGGUCAUUGGAAACUGGAAAACUUGAGUGCAGGAGAGGAAAGUGGAACUCCAUGUGUAGCGGUGAAAUGCGCAGAGAUAUGGAGGAACACCAGUGGCGAAGGCGACUUUCUGGUCUGUAACUGACGCUGAUGUGCGAAAGCGUGGGGAUCAGACAGGAUUAGAUACCCUGGUAGUCAAGGGCG